Molecule: ribosomal RNA, 470 nt
Filed under: uncultured bacterium
Lineage: Bacteria
Description: bacterial SSU rRNA
Rfam family: Bacterial small subunit ribosomal RNA
Source: RNAcentral
GACGAACGCUGGCGGCGUGCUUAACACAUGCAAGUCGAACGGAGCGAAUGAAAGCUUGCUUUUAUGAGCUUAGUGGCAAACGGGUGAGUAACACGUAGACAACCUGCCGAUCAGAUGGGGACAACAUUCCGAAAGGAAUGCUAAUACCGAAUGGCGUGUAGGGGAGGCAUCUUCCCUACAUGAAAGAUGGCCUCUAUAUAUAAGCUAUCACUGAUCGAUGGGUCUGCGUCUGAUUAGCUAGUAGGUAAGGUAACGGCUUACCUAGGCGACGAUCAGUAGCCGGUCUGAGAGGAUGAACGGCCACAUUGGGACUGAGACACGGCCCAGACUCCUACGGGAGGCAGCAGUGGGGAAUCUUCCGCAAUGGGCGCAAGCCUGACGGAGCAACGCCGCGUGAGUGAAGAAGGUCUUCGGAUCGUAAAGCUCUGUUGAAGGGGACGAACGAUCGAGGGGCGAACAGGCUCUCGGUA